UCAAAAUUUUUAUCCCGCCCCAUCUUCCUUUUCUCUCUGCGAUUCAAGGCGAUCUAUGAAGAUUUCCCUAGAUCUUUCUCCAGAUCGAUGAAGAUUCCAGCAACCUAAAUCACAAUCGCACACCCAGUUGGAUUUGAGUCGUAUUUCUCUGUAAAUUUGUGGUUAUGGCUGGCCGUUAUGAUCCCAAUCCGUUUUAUGAAGGGGACGAAGUUAACCCCUUUGCUGUAAGUUAUUUCUUAUUCGAAUUAACUUGUCGGGUUUCGUUUAAUGCUUGAUUCUUCGUCCGUGUGUUGGCUUAUUUUAAGUUCAUACUGUUUAUGCUUCUAGGGUUGUUUAAAUUGACAUUUUGUUGUUCAUUUUGGGUAGAAGUUGAAGUUGGUUUGUGACUGAAUGAGUUUGAUAUCUUGUUGAUUUGUUCGGUUGGUUUCGAUUUUCGGAUCUGGUUUAGUUUCAUUUGCUGACCUGCAAUGACUUCCUUGGAUGGUUUACUGGUUGUUUAUAACAAUUUACAGAAAUUGGUUUGGAUUUAUGAAGUCUAGUUACACGAUAUUCAUACGCUAGGUGCAAAGAGUGAGCCUUGGGCUUAGGCGCAAGUGGUUUUAAGCAAGGCACUGUUGUUUUGUCAUUGAAUUAAUAGUCAAGUCAUUCUGUUGUUAUGUCAUAAUCGGGAUCAAGGGAAAGGAGCUUGAAAGUCGAACUUUAGUCGAGGCCGUUUUACACAACAAGUGUUCCUUCGGCUGCAAACUCUAGACUUUCGCCCCUUCUACAUGUGCCCGCAGAUUUCUAUGAUAGGUGUGCCCCUGUUGACAUUCCUCUUGAUUCAGCUACAGGUCGAACCCUAAACAACAACGAUGGUGAAUCAGUGGUGACAGAUGUGUUAGCAACUCACACAUCAGCUAAAUAGGUUUCUCUCUCACCAAAUUUUCAAUUUAAAGCUUUGUUCUCAACUUCUGAUCUUUGCAUAAAUUGAAUGGUAUUCAUUGAUUUGUAA
Long non-coding RNA from Helianthus annuus (common sunflower), 991 nucleotides. RefSeq lists it as uncharacterized. The record is from RefSeq and is a predicted model, not a curated record. The transcript has 3 exons. NCBI's taxonomy places the organism in Eukaryota, Viridiplantae, Streptophyta, Magnoliopsida, Asterales, Asteraceae.